RNAcentral lists this ribosomal RNA (301 nucleotides) under uncultured bacterium. RNAcentral's name for it is "partial 16S ribosomal RNA". It matches the Rfam family "Bacterial small subunit ribosomal RNA", at positions 509 to 807 of the family's 1533-position model. The record is from RNAcentral.
CAGUCGCCGCGGGAAUACGUAGGUCCCGAGCGUUGUCUGGAUUUAUUGGGCGUAAAGGGCUCGCAGGCGGUUUCUUAAGUCUGAUGUGAAAGCCCCCGGCUCAACCGGGGAGGGUCAUUGGAAACUGGGAAACUUGAGUGCAGAAGAGGAGAGUGGAAUUCCACGUGUAGCGGUGAAAUGCGUAGAGAUGUGGAGGAACACCAGUGGCGAAGGCGACUCUCUGGUCUGUAACUGACGCUGAGGAGCGAAAGCGUGGGGAGCGAACAGGAUUAGAUACCCGCGUAGUCCCUGUCUCUUAUAC